UCAAGUAAUGAAGUGCACAUGGUGGAUGCCUUGGCAGUCAGAGGCGAUGAAAGACGUGAUAGCCUGCGAUAAGCGUCGGUGAGGUGGCAAUAUCCUGUGACCCGGCGAUUUCUGAAUGGGGAAACCCAACCAACACAAGUUGGUUAUUACACAGUUUACUGUGUAAGGCAAACCGGGAGAAGUGAAACAUCUCAGUACCCCGAGGAAAAGACAUCAAAUGAGAUUCCGUAAGUAGCGGCGAGCGAACACGGAGGAGCCGAUCAAUUUUACAGUAGCAAAAUGGCGUGGGAAAGCCAACCAUAGUAGGUGAUAGUCCUGUAUGCGAAACUGUUUAAGCGACAUAUUAAGUAGGGCGGAACACGAGAAAUUCUGUCUGAAGAUGGGGGGACCAUCCUCCAAGGCUAAAUACUCCUGACUGACCGAUAGUGAACCAGUACCGUGAGGGAAAGGCGAAAAGAACCCCUGUUAGGGGAGUGAAAUAGAACCUGAAACCGUGUGCAUACAAGCAGUCGGAGCGGACUUGUUCCGUGACGGCGUACCUUUUGUAUAAUGGGUCAGCGACUUAUAUUCUGUAGCAAGGUUAACCGAAUAGGGGAGCCGUAGGGAAACCGAGUCUUAAUAGGGCGAAUGAGUUGCAGGGUAUAGACCCGAAACCGAGUGAUCUAUCCAUGAGCAGGUUGAAAGUGCCGUAACAGGCACCGGAGGACCGAACCCACUGUCGUUGAAAAGCCAGGGGAUGACUUGUGGAUAGGGGUGAAAGGCUAAUCAAACUCGGUGAUAGCUGGUUCUCCCCGAAAGCUAUUUAGGUAGCGCCUCGGACGAACACCAUUGGGGGUAGAGCACUGUUUCGGCUAGGGGGUCAUCCCGACUUACCAAACCGAUGCAAACUCCGAAUACCGAUGAGUGAUAUCCGGGAGACAGACGGCGGGUGCUAACGUCCGUCGUCAAGAGGGAAACAACCCAGACCGCCAGCUAAGGCCCCAAAUUCCUAGUUAAGUGGGAAACGAUGUGGGAAGGCACAGACAGCUAGGAGGUUGGCUUAGAAGCAGCCACCCUUUAAAGAAAGCGUAAUAGCUCACUAGUCGAGUCGGCCUGCGCGGAAGAUGUAACGGGGCUCAAACUAGGAGCCGAAGCUGCGGAUUUAAUUGUUUCAAUUAAGUGGUAGGGGAGCGUUGUGUAAGCCUGUGAAGGUGCACUGUAAGGUGUGCUGGAGGUAUCACAAGAGCGAAUGCUGACGUGAGUAACGACAAAACGGGUGAAAAGCCCGUUCGCCGGAAGACCAAGGGUUCCAGUCCAACGUUAAUCGGGGCUGGGUGAGUCGACCCCUAAGGCGAGGCCGAAAGGCGUAGUCGAUGGGAAAUCGGUUAAUAUUCCGAUACUUGUUUAUGAUGCGAUGGAGGGACGGAGAAGGUUAUGCCAGCCUGGCGAUGGUUGUCCAGGUGGAAGGAUGUAGUUAGACUGAGUAGGCAAAUCCGCUCGGUUAUUAAUGAGAUCUGAUAGCAAGCCAGUUUACUGGCGAAGUGGCAAAUACCCUGCUUCCAGGAAAAGCUUCUAAGCGAUAGUCAUAAACGAAUCGUACCCGAAACCGACACAGGUGGUCAGGUAGAGAAUACCAAGGCGCUUGAGAGAACUCUGCUGAAGGAACUAGGCAAAAUGGUACCGUAACUUCGGGAGAAGGUACGCUGCCGAUGGUGAUGAAACUUGCUUUCUGAGCUGUUGGCAGUCGCAGAUACCAGGCUGCUGCAACUGUUUAUUAAAAACACAGCACUCUGCAAACACGAAAGUGGACGUAUAGGGUGUGAUGCCUGCCCGGUGCUGGAAGGUUAAUUGAUGGGGUUAGCGUAAGCGAAGCUCUUGAUCGAAGCCCCAGUAAACGGCGGCCGUAACUAUAACGGUCCUAAGGUAGCGAAAUUCCUUGUCGGGUAAGUUCCGACC
This 1935-nucleotide ribosomal RNA is filed under the name human metagenome. RNAcentral describes it as "bacterial LSU rRNA". It matches the Rfam family "Bacterial large subunit ribosomal RNA", at positions 3 to 1988 of the family's 2925-position model. The record is from RNAcentral.